Molecule: long non-coding RNA, 1264 nt
Organism: Ictalurus punctatus (channel catfish)
Lineage: Eukaryota; Metazoa; Chordata; Actinopteri; Siluriformes; Ictaluridae
Source: Ensembl
CUCUCAUGUUAAAUGGGUGUUUUUUAAGUGAAUUACUCAGUUGUUCACUUCUAGACAAGGUGUUGUAGGUUUUGACAUGCAGCAUUAGAUGAUAGCCUAACAGUAGUGUGCAAAAAAAAAGUUUAAUAGAUGUUAAAUUCCCUCUGUACUUUUCCUACUGACAUUACAAUCACUCUCUUCAACUAAUGUUUCUUUCCUCUGUCUCUCCCCCUCUUGCGCUUUCUUUUACGAUCCACGCUGCUUCUUCUCGACCUCUUGCAAGCACAUAAGUACCGCCAUUUAUAUCCACUUCAAAUGACCGUGGUUCAGACUGUCUAUCUCAUAUUCAGAAAAUGCAGACUUAUAGUUUUAUACUCUUCAGCUGAAUAGAGGCUUGACGAAAUAUUUCCAAUGCCAAAUUGCCCUUAAUGUCAGUGUGAAAUUAGGUUCCUGACCUAGCCUGUGCUGUGCAGUAUGCUUAUUCUCUUUCUUUAAUCCUUCUCCUGCCUAUUCUUGCAUAGCGGUGCCGAAACUGGACUCUGAUGACAUCCUUCUUUGACGCCAUCUGUCUCUCUUUCUUUCUAAAGGGGAUUCUAAAGUAAACAUUAGGGACUCCCAUGGCAAGAUGGCUACUCAUUACUGGAAUGGAUGCAUGGAUGUUUUCCAAAAAUCUGACUCCCAGUCAGUCAAACAGAAUGUCUACUACAGGAGCUUUGUAUAAAGUGGUCAUGAGAGAGUUGGAGUCAGUACUAUGCCCUGUUAUCAGCUCGGCUGUCUCGCUCUGGCAAUCAGAGAAGCCUCAGUACAGAACUGGAGCCUGAUUCCCUGGAGCUGACACCUCACACAUCUUGUGUGAAUGAUAUUUACUGUUGUGUCAUGUGAGUACGUGUACUCAAACCAUUGAUAAAACUAUGCAGUUCAUUGUACAUAUCAUUGUGCAAUUCCAGAUGAUAGUAUUAUUUGGAAUAGUAAAUAAUGACAAAUGCCUUGGGAUUGAUAAAGUGAUGAUGAACUGUCAAUCUUGUUUAAUGACUUCUAUUGGCCUGGGAAAACUCUUCACAUGGAGAAAUUUUGGCAUUUAUUUUUUACUAUAUAUAGUUCUGGCGACUUCAGACUUUCGUGAAUUGAAACAUUUCUCUUUUUCAUAUAUUUCAACCACACACAAAAAAGUGAAACAUUUCUGAAUUGUAGAUGACCAGUAUAUGAUUCCAAACUGAGUUUUGGCUUUGAAUUGUUUGUGAGAUUAACUAUGUGAGGUUUUAGACAUCUUUAGGCAGGACUUGUG